Molecule: long non-coding RNA, 699 nt
Filed under: Zonotrichia albicollis (white-throated sparrow)
Lineage: Eukaryota; Metazoa; Chordata; Aves; Passeriformes; Passerellidae
Description: lncRNA (ENSZALG00000014163.1)
Source: RNAcentral
CCUGGGCAGCUCCCAUCUCCAGAGGCACUGCUGUGCUUUCCAGAAUGAGUGGCUGGCACCUGAGCCACAUGCCCAAGGAGGGAGCCAGCGCCAUCUGCUUCUCCUUUUCCUGUCGCAAGCACCUGGAGCUGCACAGCCCUGGAAUCACGUCUGUAACUCUGCAAUUCAACCCCAAGGAUAACAAGCUUAGAGGAUAAAUUCUCCCCUGCCAGAAUUUGUUUCUCUGCUGCCAGCCACCUCAGCAUUUAGCAAAACCCCAUUCUUUGCUCAGUUCCAGGCUGCUUGAAGCAAAGGCAGGUUCAGACCACCCUCCUCAAGUUUUGGAAUCAGUCCCACUAGCUUUUCUCCUGCAGCCUGCUGUGUUUGUUCCCAACCCCCUCACCUCAGCUUGUAGCUGGCAGGGGCAGUGCUGGGGCAGGAUGGCAGAGCUCACAUUCACCUGAGACCCAUGGUGUGGGAAAAACCAGCUGGGUGCAUCAGCAUCAAGGACAUUUCAUCUCAGCAGCCGUUGCAGUGUAUCUGAAGAGGCUGUUCCCUGGCCCUGCUGAAGUGGAGGUCAGGUCUUUCUUGUGGUCCCCUGUAGGUACUGAAAGCUGCCCCAGGAGCUGCUCGGAAGGUUUUAGGUGUGUGACAAGAAGGGAUGCUAAGGUAGCCUCGGGGCCCUGGUUUUGGCAGCAGAGCUUUGCAAUGUCCCUCUAA